GUAUUGCCGAAGAGUCCCAAACUAGGACGAAACAACUGUCCAGUAC
Molecule: non-coding RNA, 46 nt
Filed under: Trichobilharzia regenti
Lineage: Eukaryota; Metazoa; Platyhelminthes; Trematoda; Strigeidida; Schistosomatidae
Source: RNAcentral